UACGUAGGGGGCUAGCGUUGUCCGGAUUUAUUGGGCGUAAAGAGCUUGUAGGCGGUUUGUCGCGUCUGCUGUGAAAUUUCGGGGCUCAACCCCGAACUUGCAGUGGGUACGGGCAGACUAGAGUGUGGUAGGGGAGACUGGAAUUCCUGGUGUAGCGGUGAAAUGCGCAGAUAUCAGGAGGAACACCGUGGGCGAAGGCAGGUCUCUGGGCCAUAACUGACGCUGAGAAGCGAAAGCAUGGGGAGCGAACAGG
RNAcentral lists this ribosomal RNA (253 nucleotides) under uncultured bacterium. Its description in RNAcentral is "partial 16S ribosomal RNA". It matches the Rfam family "Bacterial small subunit ribosomal RNA", at positions 524 to 776 of the family's 1533-position model. The record is from RNAcentral.